AGUGAACGCUGGCGGUAGGCCUAACACAUGCAAGUCGAACGGCAGCACAGUAAGAGCUUGCUCUUACGGGUGGCGAGUGGCGGACGGGUGAGGAAUACAUCGGAAUCUACUUUUUCGUGGGGGAUAACGUAGGGAAACUUACGCUAAUACCGCACACGACCUACGGGUGAAAGCAGGGGAUCUUCGGACCUUGCGCGAUUGAAUGAGCCGAUGUCGGAUUAGCUAGUUGGCGGGGUAAAGGCCCACCAAGGCGACGAUCCGUAGCUGGUCUGAGAGGAUGAUCAGCCACACUGGAACUGAGACACGGUCCAGACUCCUACGGGAGGCAGCAGUGGGGAAUAUUGGACAAUGGGCGCAAGCCUGAUCCAGCCAUACCGCGUGGGUGAAGAAGGCCUUCGGGUUGUAAAGCCCUUUUGUUGGGAAAGAAAAGCAGCAGGUUAAUACCCCGCUGUUCUGACGGUACCCAAAGAAUGAGCACCGGCUAACUUCGUG
This 492-nucleotide ribosomal RNA is filed under the name uncultured bacterium. RNAcentral's name for it is "partial 16S ribosomal RNA". It matches the Rfam family "Bacterial small subunit ribosomal RNA", at positions 29 to 507 of the family's 1533-position model. The record is from RNAcentral.